UACGUAGGGGGCGAGCGUUGUCCGAAUUUACUGGGCGUAAAGCGCGCGUAGGCGGUUUAUUAAGUUGGUGGUGAAAUUCCGGGGCUCAACUCCGGGGCUGCUGCCAAUACUGGUAGGCUUGAGUUAUGGAGGGGGAAGUGGAAUUCCUGGUGUAGCGGUGAAAUGCGUAGAUAUCAGGAGGAACACCGGUGGCGAAGGCGGCUUCCUGGCCAUAUACUGACGCUGAUGUGCGAAAGCUAAGGUAGCGAACGGG
Molecule: ribosomal RNA, 253 nt
Filed under: uncultured bacterium
Lineage: Bacteria
Description: partial 16S ribosomal RNA
Rfam family: Bacterial small subunit ribosomal RNA
Source: RNAcentral